GGGAAGACUUAGAGCCCCCUUGACAUGGUGUGUUAAUAGUUGUGCCUUUGGCCAGACACGACGGUUAGUGAAUC
RNAcentral lists this non-coding RNA (74 nucleotides) under uncultured Prevotella sp. RNAcentral describes it as "L13-Bacteroidia ribosomal protein leader". It matches the Rfam family "L13-Bacteroidia ribosomal protein leader". Lineage: Bacteria; Pseudomonadati; Bacteroidota; Bacteroidia; Bacteroidales; Prevotellaceae. The record is from RNAcentral.